This 231-nucleotide unclassified non-coding RNA is filed under the name Hevea brasiliensis (rubber tree). The record is from RNAcentral. Lineage: Eukaryota; Viridiplantae; Streptophyta; Magnoliopsida; Malpighiales; Euphorbiaceae.
CUCCAUCACCAGCAACCCCACAAGAGUAACAAUGAUGCAACAUUCAUAGUUCAUACACCAUAAGAAAUUUAAAACCAAUUUACAAGUGCUACUUAGUAUGUAAUAAAUGUCAAAAUGAUUCACAAAAGACAGUAUAAAAAUUCCACAUUAAUCCACAUUGUGAACCCAACAAACUAGAACCAAAAGGAAGAACAGGGUUCUACAAUAUACUGGACAGAGUUUCACAACUUC